UUCGCCUUCAUCUUCUUCUUUUUCUUCGUUGCGUUCUAUUUAAAAAAUUGACAUGUGGCAAACGGUAAUCGUCUCAAGCAAAUUAUAUACAUCCAAAAACUAAAAAGAUCGAGAGGGGCUCAUAUGUAAAAUCUGAAACUGCUUAGAGGAGAUUUUGAGUUGGUCGAUAUUGAAAGAACUUGAAAACCAAGUUUUAUUAUGCCUAUGGACUGGGUUUUAUCGAAGACAAGGGAGAAAUGGGUAAAAGGCCGACAGGCAGAUGUUCUUUUCCUACUACUAUUCCCGCAUAUUAUAGAGCUCCUCGUGAGGAUAUCGAAUGAAGAUCACUUAUUUGGUACCAGGGAUAUCAUAAGUAGUGAAAGCUUCUUUGACACAAACAUGUCGAGUGACUCCUGGAUUAAACCACCAUUUAUUUGAAUUUCCAACUACAUUUCAUUCAAUGAUCUUAGCGCACAUGUUUUCAAUCUUUUCAGCUACUUCCACCAUGUUUAUCUGAUUUUCUUUCUUGUUUUUUGUCAAAACUUGACAAUUUAGAGAUUUUUCAUCAACUCACUAUGAUUGUAGUACUCGCCAUUGAAUGUUUUCUUGUUCUAUUUUUUCUUUUAUAUAGAAGACUCCUUUCUCUUCUUAUUACUUGGAGCAUCGUCCUUAAUAAGAUUUGCACUCAUCAUUGAUGAUUUCUCAUUUAACUCAUUAUCCUCUUCUAUCUUAAGAUGAAUCACAAGAUUUUUCAUACUAGACAAUUGGUUUUUGAAAUUUUCUUCUUCGGGAACUUGAGGAUCUUUACUUGUGAACCUUUUCAUUUCAAAUUUGGUUAGCCAAAAGAACAUUGUUUGUUGUUAUUCAUUGAAGUUCACACCAUAAUAUUUUUUUAAUUUCUCUGUCGUUGUCAUUGCUAGAGCAACAUCUGAAUUCCUUAAUGGUGCAACAUUGAUUGUCAUUGGGACAACACCAUUCAUAAAUGAAUCAAUUUGUUGUUCAAUUU
Molecule: long non-coding RNA, 985 nt
Organism: Capsicum annuum
Lineage: Eukaryota; Viridiplantae; Streptophyta; Magnoliopsida; Solanales; Solanaceae
Exons: 2
Source: RefSeq, a predicted model, not a curated record